This 206-nucleotide ribosomal RNA is filed under the name Trichoderma sp. PPc5-A(2) Fr. RNAcentral's name for it is "5.8S ribosomal RNA". The stretch from base 51 to 204 matches the Rfam family "5.8S ribosomal RNA". From Rfam's summary of the family: 5.8S ribosomal RNA (5.8S rRNA) is a component of the large subunit of the eukaryotic ribosome. The record is from RNAcentral. Lineage: Eukaryota; Fungi; Ascomycota; Sordariomycetes; Hypocreales; Hypocreaceae.
AUAUCUGAGCCAUCUCGGCGCCUCUCGUAGGCGUUUCGAAAAUGAAUCAAAACUUUCAACAACGGAUCUCUUGGUUCUGGCAUCGAUGAAGAACGCAGCGAAAUGCGAUAAGUAAUGUGAAUUGCAGAAUUCAGUGAAUCAUCGAAUCUUUGAACGCACAUUGCGCCCGCCAGUAUUCUGGCGGGCAUGCCUGUCCGAGCGUCAUU